This 333-nucleotide ribosomal RNA is filed under the name uncultured eukaryote. RNAcentral's name for it is "partial 18S ribosomal RNA". It matches the Rfam family "Eukaryotic small subunit ribosomal RNA", at positions 1470 to 1796 of the family's 1831-position model. The record is from RNAcentral.
CCCUUAGAUGUUCUGGGCUGCACGCGCGCUACACUGAUACUUUCAGCGAGUCCACCACCUUGCCUGGGAGGGUGGGGUAACCUCUGGAAAGUGCAUCGUGAUGGGGAUCGAUUAUUGUAAUUAUUAAUCUUCAACGAGGAAUUCCUAGUAAGCAUGUGUCAUCAGCCCGUGCUGAUUACGUCCCUGCCCUUUGUACACACCGCCCGUCGCUCCUACCGAUUGAACGGUUUAGUGAGGGCCUCGGAUUGGUCUCGGCCCGCUCUUUACCGGGCGGCGCCGUUGGUCGAGAAGACGCUCGAACUUGAUCGUUUAGAGGAAGUAAAAGUCGUAACA